RNAcentral lists this ribosomal RNA (330 nucleotides) under uncultured bacterium. Its description in RNAcentral is "bacterial SSU rRNA". It matches the Rfam family "Bacterial small subunit ribosomal RNA", at positions 568 to 898 of the family's 1533-position model. The record is from RNAcentral.
CGCGUAGGUGGUAGUGCAAGUCUGGGGUGGAAUCCCAGGGCUUAACCCUGGAACUGCCUUGGAAACUGUAUUACUUGAGUCAGUGAGGGGAGGGUAGAAUUCCUGGUGUAGCGGUGAAAUGCGUAGAUAUCAGGAGGAAGGCCUGUGGCGAAGGCGGCCCUCUGGCGCUGAACUGACACUGAGGCGCGAAAGCGUGGGGAGCAAACAGGAUUAAAUACCCUGGUAGUCCACGCCCUAAACGGUGGGUACUAGGUGUAGGGCUCGUAAGGGUUCUGUGCCGAAGCGAAAGCAUUAAGUACCCCGCCUGGGGAGUACGGCCGCAAGGUUGAA